UGUUGUUUCUAACUCCCAGUUUAUCAUUUUUCUAUUAAUGUUCACUGGACAACAUAGUAUUCUUGCAGCUUAAGAGUUCAUUAUUUAAUAAUAAAGAAAUAUGUCACAUUUGCUCUACCUGGGUCUUAAAUAAGUUGUUUCUAGAGAAACAAGUUUUGUGCUUCUCUUCACAGUUGUUUCAUUUUUUUAAAAUCCCGGGGUACCCAGAAAGAAGGUCUAGAGGUUAGAGCACUAGAAUACAAAAGAUAAUUUAUUUUCUUAAAUUUAGGUGGAUAAGAUCAGCUCUUUUCAAUGUUUUAGUUAUUUUCGCUUGAGUUCCUAGCUUUAUACAUGUACUAGGAAUAUUUUCUUUUGUGGAAGGGGAAAGGGCUUUGAGGGAGGGGGGUGGGUAAGACAGUGGGAUAGGGUUAGGUAGGAGAGAACAUUUCUGAGAAAAAAGAACCUAUAAUGAAGCUACAGAUUCGUCAUUACUUCUUAUUCAGUGCUGAAUACUACCUCAUGCAAAAUAUUGGUGUGGUUGCAAGUUUCCUUCUGAAACUGACACAUCAGAGAGAUGAAUUACCAUAACAUUUUCAUUUUGCCUCAUUUUAUUCUCAUACACUUUCUCUUCUUCUGAUUUACUUCAUUUUAGUAGUAGAUUCUUAGUUAGGUAUUUAUUUCCCAUUGCAAGUGACUAUUUGAUCAGCACAUUAAAAACAAAACAAAAAAAUCCCCUUUAAAUUAUGAUAGCUGCCAAUAGAGUUUAGAUUGGUUUUUACCAUGAUCCAUCCUGAUAUUAUGUCAUUAGUUACUAUCUCAAGGUCACUAAAGUUAGAUUUGACAGUUUUCUACAGGUGUAUUUCAUGCUAUGCUCAGUGGGAAAAAGGGAGCUGGAAAGAUUGGGGAAAGUAGAUAUGUUGAAUGUUACGUAGUUGUUGAGCCAGAGAGGCCACUGGCUGCCAUGCCUCUUACCAAUCAAGUUCAAAAUAAUUAGAGUAGUAGUGCCAUUGAGUUUUCUUUUUGACUGAGUUUUCUUCAUUUUCCCCUAAAUUUAGUUACAAGAUACAGACUCAUCCUUUUUUCCCUAUCCAAAUACUUUGUUUUCAAAGCAGUCAGUUUUUUGUUUUUGCAUCCAAGCACUUUACUGAACCUGUUCAGUGAUUUCCUCUCAUUAAAAAAUAUCUUUUUUCCUCUACAAUUGUCUGAUAUCUGUGUCCUUCCAGAAGCACAAGUGCAUCAUAGGAGGGCUUUUUAAGCUGGUUUUAAAGGCAAGCAGUGCCUACAAAUAAGAACUUUGUGCAAGGAUCCUAAAUCUUCCUUUGGGUCAUGUUUUUCCUUUCUUUUAAACAUGUCUGAUGAAAAGCCACAAGGGCCAAAGGGCCAAAUUUUAUUUAUUUUCCUUCUUCUAACAUACCACACACUUAAACAUCAAGCAACAAGUUCAGUUUCUAAAUCCUAGGGAGUUUUAUUCCAUUUAUUCUAAUGUUCCAUGAUUUUGAAGUAUGACACACUUUACUAUCAAUUAUUUUCAGCAAUUCUCUGGGCAGAUAAACUUCUCCAUGAAGUACUGGGAGUUUAGUUUGCAUUGAUAUAUAACAAGAAUAGUGAAAAGAGCCAUGAUGCUAUGUAGAAUCUCUUUUUUCCAUUUGCCUAGGCUAAUUAGUUUAUGAACCUGUUCACAACGAAACUUAGCAUCCCUUUGACCUCUUAAAACCAGUAGACUAAAUUAUGGUCCAUCUUAUUACCAAAAUAGGUAUUGAGCUAAGAGAUCCUGCAGAUCCUGCAGAGCAGUGGUUCUCAAAAUGCAGUCCCUGGAGCAUCAGCAAGAAAAUCACUUGGGAACUUCUUAGAAAUACUAAUUCUCUGCAUCAGAAACCUGGGAAUGGAGCCCAGCAAUCCAUAUGAAUCAGAUGUCCACAAAGCUUUGGGGGCUUAUUAAAGCCCAGUUUGGAGACCCUUCUCUUAGAGUUUCUGAUUCAAUUGGUCUAGCCUGAUUCUGUGCAUAUCUAAAAUUUCCCAGGUGAUGUUGAUAGGGACACACUUUGAGUAUUACUACUCCAGAGUUAACCUGCCUAAUAAAACUAAUUGCACCCACGUUGCCAUUUAAACAAACUCCUUGACAUGGUGACCCACUGUCCAUUAAUGAAAAAUAUUAAAGAAAAUACAACUCAGAACUCUGAAAACUAGAAUCAUCCAGAUUAUCUUCUCAAUAAGUGUCACUUCAACUCACUUGAUUGACUGUAUGAGGGAAAUUCAGUUGACUUUUUCCUAUAUCCUUAUCAUAUCAUUAAAAAACAAACCGAAAAUGCUGUCCAUCUAAAGCAACAAAGACAAAGGACAGUUUGGGGAGAGGCAGGGAUAAAGGGAAUAGCUUGGUUGGGCAUCCAAGGUAAAAAAAAAAUAAAAAGGAUUAUUAUUGUACAUAGUAGUUCUGGCUAACAUUCCACUUCAUGGGGAUCAUUUUGAUGUUGAAUGGUCCCCAAGGCAUCUUGACAAGUCUGGUCCACUUGGCUCUUUACCCAGGGUAAUAUAAGACUCUUAUGGACUUCAGAAAUCUGGCAUAAAUGAGCUUAAGUCCAUUGUAUACAGUCCUAGUGUUUGCCUUCUUGAUAAAAUUACAUUUAAGAAUGUCAUUUCAUGAGUCAAAUUGUAUCUGCUAACACUGAAGUGUAUUGAGAUAUUGUUCUUUAGUUUAAGUAUUUAACGAAGUAAUAUUCAAAGGGGAUGUGUGGGGGUGGGACUGGGACCGGGUGGCUUUAUAUUGAUAAUGAAAUAUUCCAGAGCAAAACACAUUGUCCUAAUGAAGUUGUUGCAGCUCUCUUUGUUUUCUUGUGAGGCUGAAAUUGGCUUGUGGGUCACUUGUUGUGCAAAAGUGAAUUAAUUUCAAAUAGGAAUCAUGUUGCUUUUGUAAAACAAAGAAAAUCAACCACCUUGUCAGAAAUAUAUAUUGUAAGGCGCUCUUGGUAAAGAACAAUCCACAAACACCUGAUCUUGAUUGGAAAGCAUUGUUGGUCAUUAGGGAAAACAGAUGAUGCUGACUGUUGCUCCAGCUGUGUUGGCAAUUAAAGAUGACCUUGUUACUAGCUGAAAGUUGCUGUGAACUUUAGUAAACAAACCAGCUAACACCAUUACAGCACUGGUUAAGUAGACUUUCCCUGGCACUGGCUGGCAUUCAGCUGAGGAAGGCUAGGAUACCGACUCUAAUGACCAAGAGCCAGACUAGUUUAAGCUAGAAAUUCAGCAACAAAUACCUCUUGUGCUGUUUGAAUGCUAAGGUAUUAGUUGCAAAAGGCUUAUGCCUUCGCUCCUCUAGUGAGAGGAAUGAGCCUGAUGACACUAUUAUUGUUUACCUGUCAAACCAGGGUGGAAAUUUAGAGGGAUACAAGUACAGUAUGUCUCAUUAAGCAGUUUCUGUUGCUGAUUAGAUGAAGAUGAAGUUGUUGUAUAUGCUGAUCUGUAUGUUAUGUACAUUUUCACAGUGAUUGAAUCAUUGUAAAAAAAGACAAAGAAUCAUAACUGUCUAUUUUAUG
Molecule: long non-coding RNA, 3509 nt
Organism: Heterocephalus glaber (naked mole-rat)
Lineage: Eukaryota; Metazoa; Chordata; Mammalia; Rodentia; Bathyergidae
Source: Ensembl